Transfer RNA from Rhodotorula sp. JG-1b, 73 nucleotides. It matches the Rfam family "tRNA". Rfam says of the family: Transfer RNA (tRNA) molecules are approximately 80 nucleotides in length. Their secondary structure includes four short double-helical elements and three loops (D, anti-codon, and T loops). Further hydrogen bonds mediate the characteristic L-shaped molecular structure. tRNAs have two regions of fundamental functional importance: the anti-codon, which is responsible for specific mRNA codon recognition, and the 3' end, to which the tRNAs corresponding amino acid is attached (by aminoacyl-tRNA synthetases). tRNAs cope with the degeneracy of the genetic code in two manners: having more than one tRNA (with a specific anti-codon) for a particular amino acid; and 'wobble' base-pairing, i.e. permitting non-standard base-pairing at the 3rd anti-codon position. Lineage: Eukaryota; Fungi; Basidiomycota; Microbotryomycetes; Sporidiobolales; Sporidiobolaceae. The record is from Rfam.
GUUCCGAUAGUUCAGGGGUUAGAAUAUGGGAUUGCAAAUCCCAGGGUCGUGGGUUCAAUUCCCACUCGGAACU